AUGGACGCGGCAAAGCAGCUCCUGGAUUGCUUUGGAGAGGCCACAGGGCUGUGGUGCAACUUCUUGAAAAGCUCCAUUUCCACGAUCCGCUGUCAGGAGGAGGACAUUCGGCAACUCCUCGCGCUGGCCGGCUGCAAAUUCCAGGCGCUACCUAUCACAUACCUCGGCCUUCCUCUCUCGCUACGGGCCCUGACCCGCUCGGAGCUUCAACCCCUCAUUGAUCGGAUCGCCGUGUAGUUGCCAACAUGGAAAGCG
Molecule: ribosomal RNA, 255 nt
Filed under: Triticum aestivum (bread wheat)
Lineage: Eukaryota; Viridiplantae; Streptophyta; Magnoliopsida; Poales; Poaceae
Description: partial small subunit ribosomal RNA
Source: RNAcentral